Molecule: ribosomal RNA, 400 nt
Filed under: uncultured bacterium
Lineage: Bacteria
Description: bacterial SSU rRNA
Rfam family: Bacterial small subunit ribosomal RNA
Source: RNAcentral
UCGAGAAUCUUCCGCAAUGGACGAAAGUCUGACGGAGCGACGCCGCGUGGUGGAUGAAGUCCCUCGGGACGUAAACACCUUUUAUGAGGGAGGAAGUUUAUUGACGUUACCUCAUGAAUAAGGGGCUCCCAACUCUGUGCCAGCAGGAGCGGUAAUACAGAGGCCCCAAGCAUUAUCCGGAUUUACUGGGCGUAAAGGGUGCGUAGGCGGUUAUAUUAGUCGGGUGUUAAAUCCCGGGGCUCAACCCCGGAAUCGCAUCCGAAACGGUAUAACUAGAAUAAGUCAGAGGCAAGCAGAACUCUCGGUGUAGGGGUGAAAUCCGUUGAUAUCGAGGGGAAUACCAAAUGCGAAGGCAGCUUGCUGGGACUCUAUUGACGCUGAGGCACGAAAGCGUGGGUAG